Molecule: ribosomal RNA, 344 nt
Filed under: uncultured Thermovirga sp.
Lineage: Bacteria; Thermotogati; Synergistota; Synergistia; Synergistales; Thermovirgaceae
Description: bacterial SSU rRNA
Rfam family: Bacterial small subunit ribosomal RNA
Source: RNAcentral
CUGCAUGGCUGUCGUCAGCUCGUGUCGUGAGAGUGUGGGUUUAAGUCCCGCAACGAGGCGCAACCCCUGCAUCCAGUUGCCAUCGGGCGAGCCGGGCACUCUGGAGGGACUGCCGGCGACAAGCCGGAGGAAGUGGGGAUGACGUCAAGUCAUCAUGGCCCUUAUGUCCAGGGCGACACACGUGCUACAAUGGCCGGCACAGCGGGAAGCGGAGGGGCGACCCUGAGCGGAUCCCUUGAAAGCCGGUCCCAGUUCAGAUUGCAGUCUGCAACUCGACUGCAUGAAGUUGGAAUCGCUAGUAAUCGCGGAUCAGCCAAGCCGCGGUGAAUACGUUCCCGGGCCUU